GUUCAGCAGUCUAAUGACUUGGGGGUAGAAGCUGUUCAGCAGUCUGAUGGCUUGGAGGUAGAAGCUGUUCAGCAGUCUAAUGACUUGGGGGUAGAAGCUGUUCAGCAGUCUAAUGACUUGGGGGUAGAAGCUGUUCAGCAGUCUGAUGGCUUGGAGGUAGAAGCUGUUCAGCAGUCUAAUGACUUGGGGGUAGAAGCUGUUCAGCAGUCUAAUGACUUGGGGGUAGAAGCUGUUCAGCAGUCUGAUGGCUUGGGGGUAGAAGCUGUUCAGCAGUCUGAUGACUUGGGGGUAGAAGCUGUUCAGCAGUCUAAUGACUUGGGGGUAGAAGAUGUUCAGCAGUCUAAUGACUUGGGGGUAGAAGAUGUUCAGCAGUCUAAUGACUUGGGGGUAGAAGCUGUUCAGCAGUCUAAUGACUUGGGGGUAGAAGCUGUUCAGCAGUCUAAUGACUUGGGGGUAGAAGCUGUUCAGCAGUCUAAUGACUUGGGGGUAGAAGCUGUUCAGCA
Molecule: long non-coding RNA, 503 nt
Organism: Oncorhynchus tshawytscha (Chinook salmon)
Lineage: Eukaryota; Metazoa; Chordata; Actinopteri; Salmoniformes; Salmonidae
Source: Ensembl